CAGCCGCCACGGUAAUACGUAGGGUGCGAGCGUUAAUCGGAAUUACUGGGCGUAAAGCGUGCGCAGGCGGUUCGUUAAGACAGAUGUGAAAUCCCCGGGCUUAACCUGGGAACUGCAUUUGUGACUGGCGAGCUAGAGUAUGGCAGAGGGGGGUAGAAUUCCACGUGUAGCAGUGAAAUGCGUAGAGAUGUGGAGGAAUACCGAUGGCGAAGGCAGCCCCCUGGGCCAAUACUGACGCUCAUGCACGAAAGCGUGGGGAGCAAACUGGAUUAGAUACCCCUGUAGUCCCUGUCUCUUAUAC
This 301-nucleotide ribosomal RNA is filed under the name uncultured bacterium. Its description in RNAcentral is "partial 16S ribosomal RNA". It matches the Rfam family "Bacterial small subunit ribosomal RNA", at positions 509 to 807 of the family's 1533-position model. The record is from RNAcentral.